Molecule: ribosomal RNA, 407 nt
Filed under: uncultured bacterium
Lineage: Bacteria
Description: partial 16S ribosomal RNA
Rfam family: Bacterial small subunit ribosomal RNA
Source: RNAcentral
AUUGAACGCUGGCGGCAGGCCUAACACAUGCAAGUCGAGCGGAGCAGCAGACGGGGAAGUAAUGCUUAGGACUCUGCCUGUUAGUGGGGGCUAACGUCCGGCAACGGGCGCUAAUCCCGAAUACUCUCAGAUUAGCAUCGGGGGGAUUAGCUAGUUGUUGGGUGAAAGGUCUACCAAGGCGACGAUCCGUAACUGUUCUCAGAGGAUGAUCAGUCACCCUGGAACUGAGACACGGUCCAGACUCUUACGGGAGGCAGCAGGGGGGAAUAUUGGACAAUGGGCGAAAGCCUGAUCCAGCCAUGCCGCGUGUGUGAAGAAGGUCUUCGGAUUGUAAAGUACUUUAAGUUGGGAGGCGUUACCAACAGAAGAAGCACCGGCUAACUUCGUGCCAGCCGCCGCGGUAAUUC